GGCUCUUUGGUGAAAUAGGAGAUCAUACAAAGCUACGAACUUUGUGUUCUGGGUUCAAAUCCCGGAGGAGCUA
RNAcentral lists this transfer RNA (73 nucleotides) under Candidatus Riesia sp. RNAcentral's name for it is "tRNA-Arg". It matches the Rfam family "tRNA". From Rfam's summary of the family: Transfer RNA (tRNA) molecules are approximately 80 nucleotides in length. Their secondary structure includes four short double-helical elements and three loops (D, anti-codon, and T loops). Lineage: Bacteria; Pseudomonadati; Pseudomonadota; Gammaproteobacteria; Enterobacterales; Enterobacteriaceae. The record is from RNAcentral.